GACGAACGCUGGCGGCGUGCCUAAUACAUGCAAGUUGAGCGCUUAAGGUUGGUACUUGUACCAACUGGAUGAGCAGCGAACGGGUGAGUAACGCGUGGGGAAUCUGCCUUUGAGCGGGGGACAACAUUUGGAAACGAAUGCUAAUACCGCAUAAAAACUUUAAACACAAGUUUUAAGUUUGAAAGAUGCAAUUGCAUCACUCAAAGAUGAUCCCGCGUUGUAUUAGCUAGUUGGUGAGGUAAAGGCUCACCAAGGCGAUGAUACAUAGCCGACCUGAGAGGGUGAUCGGCCACAUUGGGACUGAGACACGGCCCAAACUCCUACGGGAGGCAGCAGUAGGGAAUCUUCGGCAAUGGACGUAAGUCUGACCGAGCAACGCCGCGUGAGUGAAGAAGGUUUUCGGAUCGUAAAACUCUGUUGGUAGAGAAGAACGUUGGUGAGAGUGGAAAGCUCAUCAAGUGACGGUAACUACCCAGAAAGGGACGGCUAACUACGUG
RNAcentral lists this ribosomal RNA (497 nucleotides) under uncultured bacterium. Its description in RNAcentral is "partial 16S ribosomal RNA". It matches the Rfam family "Bacterial small subunit ribosomal RNA", at positions 28 to 507 of the family's 1533-position model. The record is from RNAcentral.